This 291-nucleotide ribosomal RNA is filed under the name uncultured bacterium. RNAcentral's name for it is "partial 16S ribosomal RNA". It matches the Rfam family "Bacterial small subunit ribosomal RNA", at positions 334 to 617 of the family's 1533-position model. The record is from RNAcentral.
UUUGCCUACGGGGGGCAGCAGUGGGGAAUAUUGCACAAUGGGCGCAAGCCUGAUGCAGCCAUGCCGCGUGUAUGAAGAAGGCCUUCGGGUUGUAAAGUACUUUCAGCGGGGAGGAAGGGAGUAAAGUUAAUACCUUUGCUCAUUGACGUUACCCGCAGAAGAAGCACCGGCUAACUCCGUGCCAGCAGCCGCGGUAAUACGGAGGGUGCAAGCGUUAAUCGGAAUUACUGGGUGUAAAGCGCACGCAGGCGGUUUGUUAAGUCAGAUGUGAAAUCCUUGGGUUCAACCGGG